This 3971-nucleotide long non-coding RNA is filed under the name Homo sapiens (human). RNAcentral describes it as "HSALNT0373326". The record is from RNAcentral. Lineage: Eukaryota; Metazoa; Chordata; Mammalia; Primates; Hominidae.
GGCUGCCCCUCGGCCGGUGACCGAGUUAAGCACCGAGCUGUAAAUCGCUUGAGACCUGUAUUUGGUUGUUUUGUUGGUUUUGCCAAGUAAGGUCACUUGAGGAUUUCUUGGCUCGAGGUCCCAGGUUGCGCAGACUCUGACUGCAUCGAGUUGAGAAUUUUGGUCAGAAUGUUAAAGUGGAAACCUACCCCAGGCUGUCAUGAGAUGGGGUCCCACUAUAUUGACCAGGCUGGUCUGUAACUCCGGGCCUCAAGGGAUCUUCCCAACUCCACCUCUCAAAGUGCUGGAUUACAGCCUGAGCCACUGGACCUGGCUACUGUCCAUUCUUUGAUGAAGACAAAGUUUACCCUGAAAUCCUGUUCAGGGGCAAGAGAAAUUUCAAAAGCGAGGAUCUACCCUUAUACGGUUCACAGAUGAAUUAAGGAGUGCAGAUGUGCCCCAGGGCAGCUAGAGAACAAGCAAAAUCGGUCCUCAAGCAUUUUCUUGCUUUUCUCAAAUGUAAGAAGUCAUUUUUCAAUGCAAUCAUUCCAUCAAAGAAGGGAUAGUGUCUACUUUUGCUUCCCCCAUUAUGUCUUUGUAUAACUGAUAAAUUUCCAUAUAAUUUCAAACAUAUCUGUACAAUGAAAUGGAAAAUGAAUAAGGGGAGCUUUCUAUAGGUGCCUAUGGCAAAUCACUGUAUAAACCAGAGAGGGGAGAUCACUUAGAAUCAGAAAAUAGGACCUCCUCUGCCAUGCCUCACAAGGGAAAUAAAAAGAAUGAAAUUCCACGGAUUUUCAGAGGAAUGUGCUAGUAAUUAACCCAUUUAUGCCAGAGGUUGCAAAUUUUUUUUUUGUGAAAAAUCAGACCUUGGCAAUAACCUUGAUCAGUGAGAUAUAAAUAACUACCACAAGCUUAGUGUUCCAAUAAUGGAACACUAGGCAUAAAUAAGAAGCUAUAUACUAGAACUGUUCACCCCUGGCAUCCAAGGUCUGCUCUACCACUUCACACUCCAGAUGUGAUUUUAGACCAACUACCUUAGUAUAACAGACAUACUAGUAGUUAACAUGUAUGAUAAUUAUGAGGAUGAAAUGAACUAAUGCUUGUUAAAGCACUUAGCGCAGUGCUCAGCAUGCAGUCACUGCUCAAUCUGUAGGAGCUAUCAUUUCCAAUAAUGAGCAACCUCCCACCACUCAUUCUGUAAUUGAGAAAACCAAGGUUCAUAGGGUUAAAUGACUUGUCAGUUGAGUUUCUCCAGUUAGUUGGUGGGCUACAAGUCAGAAGAACCAACACAUGGGGGCUUUCAAGUACUUUUAGCUGCCUCAAUUGUACCUGUGAUGUAAAUCUAAAUUUUUACAUAUUGCUUUGCUCUCAAAGUAAAGUAAGAUCUCUGUCUCAUUUUUCUGUCUCCAGAAUCUAGCAUAUAGUAGGUACUUAAUAAAAGGACAUUAAAUUAGUGAAUUAUUGGCAAUAAAUAAAAAUGUGGAUGCUGAUAACAAUAUAUAAAGGAACUUACUGAAAGAAGCUUUAAGAUAAAUCUGAAAGAAAAUGGUGACUAUACAUUAGUUCUAAGGAUGCAUAAUGUUUCAGGGAAUAGAAUGUAGAAAUGAUCCAUGUUUGGGAGAUGGUACAGGUUGGGUAUCCCUUAUAAGAAAUGCUUGGAACCAGAAGCAUUUCAAUUUUUUUGAUUUUGGAAUAGUUGCAUAUUUACUAGUUGAGCAUUCCAAACCCAAAAAUCUGAAAUUGGAAAUGCUCCAAUGAGCAUUUCCUUUGAGUGUCAUAUCGAUCCUCAAAAAGUUUCAGAUUUUGGGUGGAACAUUUUGAAUUUUGGACUUUAUUUGGGAUGCUUCAACCUGUAAAAGGAUUCACUUAAAACAGAAUGUUGUAUGAUAAAGUAGUGUAAAAUUGUAUACAUAACACUGAAGUAAAUUGAGUAAAAAUUAAAAAUAUGUAUUUGUCUUAUGGAUAUAAUAGAUGAUUUUUGUCUUUAUACUUUCCAUGUGUCUUCAUAUACCAUUCCAUGAGCCUGGCAGUAUUAGGUUAAGAAAGAAAAACCUCAACAAAUGGCAUGAGGGUGAUAAGAGAUCUGGUACAAAGAGGAAGAAUACAUUAAUUACACUAGUUGGAAAUUUAGGUUAAUUCAAAAGGGACCACUGUAGGUGUGUGACAUUAAAACAGUGUUUAUGGAAUCCUAAUCGUGAGGCUGUGUGAAGGACUGAAGGGAGCUGAGUAGGACAGGGACUCUUGAUGUACAUGUAAAAAGUGAUGAGGCCCUGAUGUAGUUUUAUGGAUUUAGAAACAAAUUCUGAUUAAGAGUUGAUAGGAAAAAAAAAUUCAUCUAAGAAUUUAAAGCUUGGAGACCAAGAUGAUAUUGGUGUCUAUGACACUGAUGAAGUAAAGAUGUUGGAGAGGAGAUACUGGGAGGGAAGAUGAUGGGAUCAAGUUUUCAAUUUUGUAUUUCAGAUGUGGGAAGACCUCUAAGCAGGAAGAGACACAGGUAACUGUAAAUACAGGACUGAAGAAAACAGAUUAACCUGCUCAAGCUAAUUUCAGAAGGUUUAUACACCCAAGAAAAGUCAUUCAAACAAGCCUUAAGGUUAUUCAUAUACUACUCAAAUGUGGAAUCCCUAUUUCCUUUAAACGUGUAAUACAAUUAUAUUUUCUUUAAUAUUAAUUUUGCUUCCUCCUUAGAAGGAAACCUACUUAUCUGUAAAUUACAUUUCAAAUCUAAUUAUCCUGUCAAUUUGCAGAUGGCUUAAUAAAGAAAAACAAUUGCAUGCCAGAUUUAAUCUGACUCUUUGGAUCUUUUGUAAUUUCAGUUAAGAUAUUACAUAGAGUGGUUACAAUAGCACAAUACUGGAAUAAAACAAAUGAAGGAUCUUUUUUUUAGUGGAAGAGGAAAAUAUAAGACACAAUGAAAACAACCCAGCUUAAAAGCCCUCAAAAUUAAGGUUACAGGAAAAAGGGAAAAUCAGGUGAAAUGUAUAGGUAUUUAAUUAGUCUUUGGAGUGGUAUAAAAGCUUAUUCUUUUUAAAAGUUGUAACAAACAUUGGCAACACUCCACUCUAUCUCACUGCUAUUCUUGCUUUAUCAGAAAGCUAUCUUUGAAACCUCUUGGCUAGGAAGGUGACAAUUCCUCUAGGUUUCCAUUAUAACUUCAUGCCUAAUGUCAUAUUUACAGCACUGCAUUAUGACUAUUAUUAAUACUAUUAUUGUAAAAGCCUCCUUAUUAGUCUUUCUAGUUCUGCCCUUGUCCUACUGUAGUUUCAACACUAUAGUCAAAACAACGUUGUGUCUGAUCACGUGAAUACCCUGGUCAAAAUCCUCCACUGUCUUCUCAUUUCACGUGGAGUAAAAGCCACAGUAUGGCCUAUUAUGCCUUACGUCACUCCAUACCACCUAUAGGCCCCUUAGGAUUAACUAUCCGACCUUAUCAACUCUUCCCUUUGCUCUCUCCAUCCAGUCAUAUUGGCUCCUUUAUGUUCAUCAGAUUUAAUAGGCAUGUUCCUGCCUCAGCGUAUCUUCUUGGAACACUCUUCUCUCCAUAGUCAUCUCCUCUGGGCCAUGCUGAAAUGUCAGCUGAGUGCCCCAAAUGAAAUAACACUCAGUGCCCUCCCCCUCCACUCCCUAUUUCUUUUAUCCAAUUUUGUUUUUUCUCCAUUACACUUAUAUCUGACAAUAUAUUGUCAUGUUUACUUGCUUAUAGUGUCUUCUUUUCCACCAGAAUGUAAGUAAGCUCCAUGGAGGCAAGGGACUUUUUGUUCAGUGCUAUAUCCUGAGUGCCUGGCACAGAAUUCAAUGAAUACUUAUCAGAUAAAUGAAUAAUCUGUUCAAGUGUAGUUCAUACUGAAAAGAUUUGGAAUCUUGAGAUCUCUGGAACAUAAUAUAUACUGAAUAAAUAUUUAUGAAUUAAAAGGUAAAGAUGGCCAAAUCUUACACUGAAAAUACAUAAAAAUUAAAAAAGGGUAAAAAUAUGCAUCCACACAUUAAUAUCU